AACAUGGGUAAUCUGUCCUGCACUCUGGGACAUUCCCUGGAAACGGGGUUUUUUACCGGUUACUAUUACUUAAGGCUUCUGAUGGGGGUGGAAAGCUCCGGCGGUUCAGGAGGAGGCCGCGGGCUAUCAACUUGUUGGGGAGGGAACGGCUCACCAAGGGGACCACUGGUUGCCGGUCUGAGAGGGCCACCGGCCACACUGGGACUGAGACACGGGCCAUACUUCUACGGGAGGCAGAGUGGGGAAUUUUGCACAAUGGGCGAAAUUCUGUUGCAGCGACGCCGUUGAGGGAUGACGGCCUUCGGGUUGUAAACCUCUUUCAGCAGGGAAGAAGCUAAAGUGACGGUACCUGCAGAAGAAGCGCCGGUUAACUACGUGCCAACAGCCGGGGUAAUACGUAGGGCGCAAGCGUUUCCGGAAUUAUUGGGCGUAAAAAGCUCGUAGGCGGCUUGUAACGUCCGAUGUUAAAGCCCUUGGCUUAACCCCGGGUCUGCAUUCGAUACGGGCAGGCUAGAGUUCGGUAGGGGAGAUCGGAAUUCAUGGUGUAGCGGUGAAAUGCGCAGAUAUCAGGAAGUAACACCGGUCGGCAAAGGCCCAUCUGUGGGCCGAUACUGACCCUGAGGAAUCGAAAGCGUGGGGGAGCAAACACGAUUAGAUACCCUGGUAGUCCACGCCGUAAACAAUUGGGAACUAUGGCGGGGGGGGACAUCGCCAUGAUCGUCCGUGCCGCCUUUAACUAACGCCAUCAAGUUCCCCGCUCUUGGGGACUACGGCCGCAUUAGGCUAAAACUCAAAGGAAUUGACGGGGGCCCGCACAAGCGGCGGAGCAUGUGGCUUAAUUCGACGCAACGCGAAGAACCUUACCAAGGCUUUACAUACACCGGAACACCCAGAGAUGGGUGCCCCCUUGUGGUCGGUGUACAGGUGGUGCAUGGCUGUCGUCAGCUCGUGUCGUUAGAUGUUGGGUUAAGUCCCACAACGAGCGCAACCCUUGUCCCGUGUUGCCAGCAGGCCCUUGUGGUGCUGGGGACUCACGGGAGGCCGCCGGGGUCUACUCGGAGGAAGGUGGGUGGGGCGUCAAGUCAUCAUUCCCCUUCUGUCUUGGUAUGCACUCGUGCUUCAAUGAACGGUACAAACAAAUGGUAUACCGUCAGGUGGAGAGAAUCUAAAAAAACCGGUCUCAGUUAGGAUUGGGGUCAGCAACUCACCCCCAUGCAGUCGGAGUCAAUAGUAAUUACAAAU
Molecule: ribosomal RNA, 1242 nt
Filed under: Streptomyces sp.
Lineage: Bacteria; Bacillati; Actinomycetota; Actinomycetes; Kitasatosporales; Streptomycetaceae
Description: bacterial SSU rRNA
Rfam family: Bacterial small subunit ribosomal RNA
Source: RNAcentral